CUAGGCUUGACAUCCCACGACAACCGUAGAAAUACGGCUUUGUAGCAAUACACGUGGAGACAGGUGCUGCAUGGCUGUCGUCAGCUCGUGUUGUGAAAUGUUGGGUUAAGUCCCGCAACGAGCGCAACCCCUGGAUUUAGUUGCCAGCAUUAAGUUGGGCACUCUAAAUUAACUGCCAGCGUUAAGCUGGAGGAAGGUGGGGAUGACGUCAAGUCCUCAUGGCCCUUACGCCUAGGGCUACACACGUAAUACAAUGGAUAGGACAAAGGGUCGCGAACUCGCGAGAGGGAGCUAAUCUCAAAAACCUAUCCUCAGUUCGGAUUGGAGGCUGCAAUUCGCCUCCAUGAAGGCGGAAUCGCUAGUAAUCGUGGAUCAGAACGCCACGGUGAAUACGUUCCCGGGCCUUGUACACACCGCCCGUCACACCAUGGGAGUUGACUCAACCAGAAGUCGCUGUCGCCAACCGCAGGGGGGCAGGCGCCGAAGGUGGGGUUAAUGACUGGGGUG
This 507-nucleotide ribosomal RNA is filed under the name uncultured bacterium. RNAcentral's name for it is "bacterial SSU rRNA". It matches the Rfam family "Bacterial small subunit ribosomal RNA", at positions 975 to 1482 of the family's 1533-position model. The record is from RNAcentral.